Molecule: ribosomal RNA, 498 nt
Filed under: uncultured bacterium
Lineage: Bacteria
Description: partial 16S ribosomal RNA
Rfam family: Bacterial small subunit ribosomal RNA
Source: RNAcentral
AUUGAACGCUGGCGGCAUGCUUUACACAUGCAAGUCGAACGGUAACAGGUCUUCGGAUGCUGACGAGUGGCGAACGGGUGAGUAAUACAUCGGAACGUGCCUAGUAGUGGGGGAUAACUACUCGAAAGAGUGGCUAAUACCGCAUGAGAUCUACGGAUGAAAGCAGGGGAUCGCAAGACCUUGUGCUACUAGAGCGGCCGAUGGCAGAUUAGGUAGUUGGUGGGAUAAAAGCUUACCAAGCCGACGAUCUGUAGCUGGUCUGAGAGGACGAUCAGCCACACUGGGACUGAGACACGGCCCAGACGCCUACGGGAGGCAGCAGUGGGGAAUUUUGGACAAUGGGCGCAAGCCUGAUCCAGCAAUGCCGCGUGCAGGAUGAAGGCCUUCGGGUUGUAAACUGCUUUUGUACGGAACGAAAAGCCCUGGGUUAAUACCCUGGGGUCAUGACGGUACCGUAAGAAUAAGCACCGGCUAACUACGUGCCAGCAGCCGCCGUAA